RNAcentral lists this unclassified non-coding RNA (201 nucleotides) under Hevea brasiliensis (rubber tree). Lineage: Eukaryota; Viridiplantae; Streptophyta; Magnoliopsida; Malpighiales; Euphorbiaceae. The record is from RNAcentral.
AAAAGACUCCUACUUUCCGGCUUCUGGCGCCGGAGCAGAGUGAAAUAUAUACCACUGAUUCAAGAAAUAUUGAGCACAUUCUUAAGACAAACUUUAGCAAGUACUCUAAAGGAAAGAGAAAUCAAGAGGUUAUAAUGGAUUUGUUUGGUGAAGGGAUUUUCGCGGUGGAUGGUGAGAAAUGGAAGCAGCAGAGGAAACUUG